CCUACGGGAGGCAGCAGUCGAGAAUCAUUCACAAUGGAGGCAACCCUGAUGGUGCGACGCCGCGUGGGGGAAUGCAGGUCUUCGGGUUGUAAACCCCUGUCAUGUGGGAGCAAAUUAAAAAGAUAGUACCACAAGAGGAAGAGACGGCUAACUCUGUGCCAGCAGCCGCGGUAAUACAGAGGUCUCAAGCGUUGUUCGGAAUCACUGGGCGUAAAGCGUGCGUAGGCUGUUUCGUAAGUCGGGUGUGAAAGGCGGGGGCUCAACCCGCGGACGGCACAUGAUACUGCGAGACUAGAGUAAUGGAGGGGGAGCCGGAAUUCUCGGUGUAGCAGUGAAAUGCGUAGAGAUCGAGAGGAACACUCGUGGCGAAGGCGGGUUCCUGGACAUUAACUGACGCUGAGGCACGAAGGCCAGGGGAGCGAAAGGGAUUAGAUACCCGGGUAGUC
RNAcentral lists this ribosomal RNA (446 nucleotides) under uncultured bacterium. Its description in RNAcentral is "partial 16S ribosomal RNA". It matches the Rfam family "Bacterial small subunit ribosomal RNA", at positions 338 to 795 of the family's 1533-position model. The record is from RNAcentral.